RNAcentral lists this microRNA precursor (54 nucleotides) under Podarcis lilfordi (Lilford's wall lizard). Lineage: Eukaryota; Metazoa; Chordata; Lepidosauria; Squamata; Lacertidae. The record is from RNAcentral.
UGCAUGUGUGUGUGUGUGUGUGUGUGCACGCGCGCACACACACACACACAUGUG